Molecule: non-coding RNA, 28 nt
Filed under: Rattus norvegicus (Norway rat)
Lineage: Eukaryota; Metazoa; Chordata; Mammalia; Rodentia; Muridae
Source: RNAcentral
GAGAGGAAAAACUCACAAAGUGAGAGCA